This 223-nucleotide long non-coding RNA is filed under the name Elaeis guineensis (African oil palm). RNAcentral's name for it is "long non-coding RNA (EGUI_LNC059601)". The record is from RNAcentral. Lineage: Eukaryota; Viridiplantae; Streptophyta; Magnoliopsida; Arecales; Arecaceae.
GUACUAAGCUUAUGUCCAUCAGUAUUUUUCACAUAAGCAGGGCAACCCCAAAUCUUAAAAUAUUUAAGAUUGAUCCUCUUCUCUUUCCAUAUCUCAUAUAGAGUGCUAGAAACAGACUUAGUACUUUGUUCAAAAUAUAUGCUGCGAUCUUGAGGGUAUAUCCCCAGAAGGAGAUUGAAUGAUCCGUGAAACACAUCAUGGACCACACCAUAUCUAAUAAGGU